RNAcentral lists this ribosomal RNA (458 nucleotides) under uncultured bacterium. RNAcentral describes it as "bacterial SSU rRNA". It matches the Rfam family "Bacterial small subunit ribosomal RNA", at positions 977 to 1434 of the family's 1533-position model. The record is from RNAcentral.
GGGCUUGACAUCCCACGAACCUGUCGAAAGGCAGGAGUGCCCGCAAGGGAGCGCGGAGACAGGUGGUGCAUGGCUGUCGUCAGCUCGUGUCGUGAGAUGUUGGGUUAAGUCCCGCAACGAGCGCAACCCUCACGCUUAGUUGCUCGCCCGCAAGGGAAGCACCCUAAGCGAACUGCCUCAGAUAAUGGGGAGGAAGGUGGGGAUGACGUCAAGUCCUCAUGGCCUUUAUGCCCAGGGCUACACACGUGCUACAAUGGCCGGUACAAAGCGUCGCCAACCCGCAAGGGGGAGCCAAUCGCAGAAAACCGGUCUCAGUUCGGAUUGCAGGCUGCAACUCGCCUGCAUGAAGCUGGAAUCGCUAGUAAUCGCGUAUCAGAACGAUGCGGUGAAUACGUUCCCGGGCCUUGUACACACCGCCCGUCACACCACGAAAGCCAGCUGUACUCGAAGUCGCUGAG